RNAcentral lists this transfer RNA (85 nucleotides) under Mesoflavibacter zeaxanthinifaciens subsp. sabulilitoris. Its description in RNAcentral is "Mesoflavibacter sabulilitoris tRNA-Leu". It matches the Rfam family "tRNA". From Rfam's summary of the family: Transfer RNA (tRNA) molecules are approximately 80 nucleotides in length. Lineage: Bacteria; Pseudomonadati; Bacteroidota; Flavobacteriia; Flavobacteriales; Flavobacteriaceae. The record is from RNAcentral.
GCUCAAGUGGCGGAAUUGGUAGACGCGCCGGAUUCAAAAUCCGGUUUCUUCGGAAGUAUGGGUUCGAUUCCCAUCUUGAGUACAA